RNAcentral lists this long non-coding RNA (3189 nucleotides) under Hordeum vulgare. RNAcentral's name for it is "long non-coding RNA (HVUL_LNC004308)". Lineage: Eukaryota; Viridiplantae; Streptophyta; Magnoliopsida; Poales; Poaceae. The record is from RNAcentral.
UUUUUUGUAUCGUUUCAUGUUUUUGAAUGAGAAAUUUGUACUAAAAAAGUAUUGUUCAAUACAUGAAAACUUCUUAGGUGUUACAGAAGUAUUGUUCAUAUUUUCUGCCCAUCACAGAAAUGAAAAAUUAUACAGUUAAUUCUCCAAUAACCCAGCACACACAAACUAAGAUUACACAACAUAGACAAAUGGUAUUACAGCCCAGAUAAAAUGGUAUUACAAAAAAUAGUAUAUUCAACACUAAAACAAGUAAUCACGUCAUACGAAAGCGUGGCUCCAUUGUCUUCCUCUUCUAAAAUUCUGAGAAGCAUCCUGACAUUAGAAAGAACAACACAUGAGUAGCAGAUAAUGCAUAUAUGACAGGAAAUAUGAAAAAUGCAACAAGUUGAGAGUAGAACGCAAACAACAUAUAAGCAAUUCAUGGAUGUAAGUAGUGAUCAUUUUAGGGGGCCUUAUGUGGAUGCACAACCCAACUUUGGGAUCUAUCUGGUCAAAAGUUUACAUGUACGAUCCACAAUAUUACGUACAACAAAAAUAUGUACAGGUUUUAGCUUAUGACAUGUACGGAUACAACAGACUUUACUUGACAUAUGCGUUGCUUAAUAGAAAAAAAAGUUGCAAAAGAGGUGUGCACGCAUAUGGGUUUCCUAGAAUAAAAGCUAUAUGUAUUAGUAUCAGACUCCAAUUUGACUCUGGCAGGAUGCAGCUUAUAUUAACGCAAUAGAUUCAGAAAAGUUGCAAAAGAGGUGCACGUGUAUGUGUUGCCUAGAAAAAACUAUAAAGAUUAGUAUCAGACUGCAAUUAGGCUCCAUCUUGGUGCAAUUCUUUUUAUACUUUACUUGGUAUAUGUGUUGCUUAGAAGAAAAAAACUGCCAAAAAGGUGUGCAUGCAUAUGAGUUUUCUAGAUAAUAAAAAGCUAUAUGUAUUGUAUCACACUCUAAUUAGGCUCUAUUUGGGUGCAACUUAUAUUAAUACAAAAGAUUAAAGCUGCAACAGAGAUGUGCACGGACAUGUAUUACCUAGAAAAAAGGCUAUAUAUAUUAGUUGUGGACUCCAAUUAGGCUCCGGCUUGGUGCAUUUUUUUUUAGAAUCGGUGCAGCAUAUAUUAAGACAAAAUAUUUAGUCUAUAAAAAACAUAUUUGGAAAAUAAGAAGUAAUAAAAGAUAGCGCUCACGUGUAUAUAACAAACAGUGGACCUUGGGAAAACUAUGGAUUUAGAGAAGGAUCAAGAUUACAUGGUGGAAAGCUUCACGUAAAAACAAUAGGUGUGGGCGAAUAAAUGUUUCAGGCCAACAAAUCUGCCAAAUCAUGUGUUUUUUAUGUUAUCUGUAAAAGUGGACCUAACAGCCUAUGGAAGUAUCAUAAUUAAUAUAUGAAAUAUUUGAAAAAAUAUACAUAAAAAUAGAAUAAAUCUAGUCGCCCAAGGUAGGAUGUGCCUUAUCACAUGAGUAUGUGUCUUAUCACAUGAAGAAUUUGACAUGCCACUUAAGCAUGAUAGAAGGUGAAUAUAUAUAGGACUCAUGUAUUAUGAACAUAUAGGCAACAAUUACUCCAAAACAGUAUGGGGCAAUGGAAAGAUAUGGCGCACAUGACUAUAUAGAAUGCACAGUGUACAUGAGAGAAGCCAGAUAUGCUUUUUCUCAGAUAUACUCACCAAAUGUCUUAUAAGGUAUGAAUCAACCCAGAUAACUCAAGAUUUAUUCAAAGUCAACAUGGUUGAGCUAGAUGAUAUGUUGCCAUAUUCAAGAAGUACUUACCAUCAUCCUAUUCAUCGACAACAGAGUUUAGUUGCUCUCCUCAUGGUCCUUCCAGUCUAGCUUCUCUAGGCACAGCAGAUGAGCUAGUUUCCUAUGACAUCAAGGAAAAUUAGGGAACAAUAUGAGAACUGCCGAGCAGACAGGGAAACCUCACUUGUUGGUGUAGGGACCAUGUUGUGCUUGUCGGACCUCCCCGUGUUGGCAUUGACAACAUGCAGUGCGGCGAGCUCGAUCUACUUGGUCACAACACUUGUGUUUGACUUGCUCCAAAGUUUCUCCAUGAAUUCUUCCACAUAAGCUUAUAAGAUGAUACAAUAAGAGUAGAAAACAUCAAAAUUGAUAUAGAGAUUUAAGUUUAGUUCAUGUUCACUACCAGUUCUACACAAGACAGGUUGCACAUGACAAAAUAUUAAUUCUACAAGUAAGCAUUAGGUUAACUAGUCGUCAACCCGUGCUUUCGCACGGGCUAGCUUAUUUUUAAAUAGACAUAUAUGUGUUAUAGUUAUAUUAACCUUAGUUAGAGGCACUUAGAAAUGAAAUGGAAAGGCAAUGAUUAAACUGACAUGUAGAGAAUUGCAAAAUUUAUCACAAAUAUGUCAUCGACCUAUUUUGCAUCCUUUAAAACUACAGUCUUUUGAAAAGAACUUUUAAAAUAAGGCUUCACUUGGGUUACACUCUCGAGGGUGUUGCAAAUAAUACCAUCAUUUUCCUACGGUUCAAACAAACAUAGCUCAUUACCAUAGGAUCCAAGAUGAUAAUGAUAUCAUAGUCCUAUGUUUUUUUCUCUAUGAACUUUUCAGAAUGUUACGAAUAAAAUAGGCUCUAUUAAUUGUUUACAAUAAAUCUAAUCAUAAAACUAUGAUGUGCCAAAAAUGAGAAGAUAUGGAUUAUCACAGUGAUAGGUACAGAGCAUCAAAUAAUAGAUAUAUGUGAUACACAAAUUAGAAUGAAUGAAUGAAAAAAAUAAGGACUAAUCUACCGUACCAAAGGGCAAACCCGGCUUCUAGAGUAAGACAAUGAAAAUUCAUGCAUUACUACGAAGCCAUUUUAACUCAAAAACAAUCAGCUAGACUUCAUGGGUAUUGCACAUGAAUAUAAGAAUGACAAAAGAAUGGGUGCUGCACCGUGAUUAUUUUUCUCGGAAAGAUUCCCAGGGAGGCAGGAUGGAUCUUUCGGCUCCUGGGCAAGGGGCGUCUACUUAGGCCCCUGCUCAAAAAUGGCCAGGCUCAUCAGUGAAGGACGAGGACAAAGGUUUGGCCACAGUGAAGGGAAGGGGGAGGGGAGCAGCACCUGCGCGGCAGUCGACCCACCUCAGCCGUAGGCGACGACGCGCGCACCGGAGACGAGGAUAAUGGACUCCACCUCGGCCUCCUGUGGCGCUGGCCAGCCACCGGAGGCUCGUCGGAACCCCAACCCUCAUCGGAANNNNNNN